AACUGCUGGACAAGGAGUGUUCUGUUGAGCUCAUUUUCACACGAUGAACAACUGGCUUAGAACUGAUUCGGGCAAGGGGAAUCCGACUGUUUAAUUGAAACAAAGCAUUGCGAGGGCCUCAAAGGGUGGUGCCACAAUGUGAUUUCUGCCCAGUGCUCUGAAUGUCAAAGUGAGGAAAUUCAACUAAGCGCGGGUAAACGGCGGGAGUAACUAUGACUCUCUUAAGGUAGCCAAAUGCCUCGUCAUCCAAUUAGUGACGCGCAUGAAUGGAUUAAUGAGAUUCCCACUGUCCCCAUCUACUGUCCAGCGAAACCACAGCCAAGGGAACGGGCUUGGGUAAAUCAGCGGGGAAAGAAGACCCUGUUGAGCUUGACUCUAAUCUGACUUUGUGAAAUGACUUAGGAGGUGUAGGAUAUGUGGGAGCUCUGGUGAUCUUGAAAUACCACUACUCUUAAUGUCACUUUACUUACUCUAUCAGACUGUGGCCUGCUUCCCAGCAGGUUUUUGUUUCAAGGCAUCUCAUCUGACUUGUUGACUUGCGUAGAGGACGUAGUCAGGUGGGCAGUUUGGCUGGGGCGGCACAUCUGUUAAAGGAUAACGCAGGUGUCCCAAGGUAAGCUCAAGGAGAACAGAAAUCUCAUGUGGAUCAGAAGGGGAAAUGCUUGCUUGAUUUUGCUUUUCAGUGUGAAGACAANCUGUGCAAACAUGGCCUAUCGAUCCUUUGG
This 725-nucleotide ribosomal RNA is filed under the name Gambierdiscus australes. RNAcentral describes it as "LSU rRNA". It matches the Rfam family "Eukaryotic large subunit ribosomal RNA", at positions 2052 to 2779 of the family's 3401-position model. The record is from RNAcentral. Lineage: Eukaryota; Dinophyceae; Gonyaulacales; Pyrocystaceae.